GACAGAGGUGCCGAGCGUUAGGCGGAAUCACUGGGCUUAAAGCGUGUGUAGGCGGGCGGGCAAAUACCUUGGGAAAUCCCACGGCUCAACCGUGGAACGGCUGGGUAUACUGCCUGUCUUGAGCCAACUAGGGGCGAGCGGAACAGACGGUGGAGCGGUGAAAUGCGUAGAUAUCGUCUGGAACGCCAAAGGUGAAAACAGCUCGCUGGGGUUGUGCUGACGCUGAGACACGAAAGCCAGGGGAGCGAACGGG
This 253-nucleotide ribosomal RNA is filed under the name uncultured bacterium. RNAcentral's name for it is "partial 16S ribosomal RNA". It matches the Rfam family "Bacterial small subunit ribosomal RNA", at positions 524 to 776 of the family's 1533-position model. The record is from RNAcentral.